CGUAGGUGGCAAGCGUUGUCCGGAAUUAUUGGGCGUAAAGCGCGCGCAGGUGGUUCCUUAAGUCUGAUGUGAAAGCCCACGGCUCAACCGUGGAGGGUCAUUGGAAACUGGGGAACUUGAGUGCAGAAGAGGAAAGUGGAAUUCCAAGUGUAGCGGUGAAAUGCGUAGAGAUUUGGAGGAACACCAGUGGCGAAGGCGACUUUCUGGUCUGUAACUGACACUGAGGCGCGAAAGCGUGGGGAGCAAACAGGAUUAGAUACCCUGGUAGUCCACGCCGUAAACGAUGAGUGCUAAGUGUUAGAGGGUUUCCGCCCUUUAGUGCUGCAGCUAACGCAUUAAGCACUCCGCCUGGGGAGUACGGCCGCAAGGCUG
This 372-nucleotide ribosomal RNA is filed under the name uncultured organism. Its description in RNAcentral is "bacterial SSU rRNA". It matches the Rfam family "Bacterial small subunit ribosomal RNA", at positions 526 to 896 of the family's 1533-position model. The record is from RNAcentral.